GGGUCCAACCUCCCAUCCGUGUCUAUCUGUACCCUGUUGCUUCGGCGUGGCCACGGCCCGCCGGAGACUAACAUUUGAACGCUGUCUGAAGUUUGCAGUCUGAGUUUUUAGUUAAACAAUCGUUAAAACUUUCAACAACGGAUCUCUUGGUUCCGGCAUCGAUGAAGAACGCAGCGAAAUGCGAUAAUUAAUGUGAAUUGCAGAAUUCAGUGAAUCAUCGAGUCUUUGAACGCACAUUGCGCCCCCUGGUAUUCCGGGGGGCAUGCCUGUCCGAGCGUCAUUGCUGCCCUCAAGCACGGCUUGUGUGUUGGGCUUCCGUCCCUGGCAACGGGGACGGGCCCAAAAGGCAGUGGCGGCACCAUGUCUGGUCCUCGAGCGUAUGGGGCUUUGUCACCCGCUCCCGUAGGUCCAGCUGGCAGCUAGCCUCGCAACCAAUCUUUUUAACCAGGUUGACCUCGGAUCAGGUAGGGAUACCCGCUGAACUUAAGCAUAUCAAAAGCCCGGAGGAA
RNAcentral lists this ribosomal RNA (509 nucleotides) under Aspergillus pseudoglaucus. Its description in RNAcentral is "eukaryotic LSU rRNA". The stretch from base 127 to 280 matches the Rfam family "5.8S ribosomal RNA". The record is from RNAcentral. Lineage: Eukaryota; Fungi; Ascomycota; Eurotiomycetes; Eurotiales; Aspergillaceae.